Molecule: ribosomal RNA, 652 nt
Filed under: uncultured bacterium
Lineage: Bacteria
Description: bacterial SSU rRNA
Rfam family: Bacterial small subunit ribosomal RNA (bases 1-546)
Source: RNAcentral
CCUACGGGAGGCAGCAGUCGCGAAUUUUUCACAAUGGACGCAAGUCUGAUGAAGCCACGCCGUGUGCGGGAUGAAGGCUCUUUGAGUUGUAAACCGCUGUCAAGUGGAGGGAAACGUACGGUGUUAACAGCGCCGUGCCUGACUGUCCGCUAAAGGAAGCCCCGGCAAAACAUGUGCCAGCAGCCGCGGUAAUACAUGUGGGGCAAGCGUUGUUCGGAAUUACUGGGCAUAAAGGGUGCGUAGGCGGCAUGUUAAGUCAGGGGUGAAAUCCCACGGCCCAACCGUGGAACUGCCUUUGAUACUGGCGUGCUUGAGUGCGUGAGGGGUAACCGGAACGAGUAGUGUAGCGGUGAAAUGCGUAGAUAUUACUCGGAAGGCCAAAGGCGAAGGCAGGUUACUGGUACGCAACUGACGCUGAGGCACGAAAGCGUGGGGAGCAAACAGGAUUAGAUACCCUGGUAGUCCACGCCGUAAACGAUGAGCACUAGGUUGAUGGCACGCUACGUGUUGUCAGCGCAGAAAAUUAAAAUUAAAGUAGCGUCCGCCGUCGGGGAGGGUAAGUGGUUCGGUUCGAAGGACGUUGAAACGUAACGAAAGGAAAGUUAGUACGGCGUUGAGAGUUGCCGAACGGACGACACGAGGGGAGGAGGAG